This is a long non-coding RNA of Mytilus californianus (California mussel), 4015 nucleotides long. RefSeq lists it as uncharacterized. NCBI's taxonomy places the organism in Eukaryota, Metazoa, Mollusca, Bivalvia, Mytilida, Mytilidae. The transcript is spliced from 6 exons. The record is from RefSeq and is a predicted model, not a curated record.
UUGGUAAAAGAGGGGUAAACUUAGGUUUAAACUUUUACUGAAGUGCUGCCUGUUUUUAUGCCCCUGCAAAUAAAUGGCUAUGUCAUAUACAGUUUAUACCAUUUCUUUCAAUCAUUCAAACAUUCAGCAAUGCAAUAGUCAUUGUAGAAUUUGUGCCUAUAAUUUAGCCAAACUGUUUAUGAAAUUAAUCGAUAAUUGCUAAUACUUCUUCUAUUACGUCACAGAAAUGACAUUACAGCCAGUUGAUUCUUCAGGCCAAAGCUAGUUUUUGCCUUUUCUAUGACCAUGAUGAAUCUGAUUGGAUUUGCAUUUUACUUCAUUGGUACGAAUAAAAAAUGUGAGGUAUACUCAAUCAGACAACAACCAACCAACACAAAAAUGAAAACUUAUCUAGAAUUUAACAUACCGGUACAAUGCAUGUAUGGUUUUAACCAAAGAUCAUUGUCAAUACAAUAUAUCAUUCCCUUUUUUCCCUGAGUUUAGGAAAGUGAUGAAAAAAAUUUGAAUAAAAGGAGUAAGUUCCCUUUUUGGCCCCCAAUAUUAAGUGCAUUCUUUCAAGAUAAAAAGUGUUUCAAGUUCCCUUUUUGGCCCCCAAUAUUAAGUGCAUUCUUUCAAGAUAAAAAGUGUUUCAAGUUGAUGAAUAGACAUGAAAGAAAUUGAAAUAUAACUAUUUUGGAUGAGAUUUUCUUAUUUAUAAAGCGUUGAUAUUUACACCCCAAACAGGCCAACAUAGAGAGUAUGUUGAAACAUGACAAAAUCUUCUUGAUUUCAACCACAUUACAGUCUUAUGAAACAUAAAGUGCAGGGUUCAAUGCCCUUAAUAUUCAAGUCAGAUAUGUAAUUUUAUAUACCAAACAUAAAGUCAAAAAAUGCUUCUGGUUAGAAAAACCAAUGGAAAUGGAAAUUCAUCCAUAUUCAUUGAAUUAUUUUGAGGAAAAUCAAAAGUUGUGCUAUUUGUGAAGUCAUGAGAGGAAUACAGAUUUUCCAAAAAAAAAUAAAUUAAAAUAUCUAUUAUCAAUUUAUUGGAUAAUAAUCCAUAUUCAAAAUUUAGCAAGAAAUAGGGGGCCAUAUUAGAGCCUUAUCCAACUUAUUCUUUUUUCAAGAUAUGCCAUCAUCACCAAAUUCUUAAAGGUAAAUUAUAACUAUAGACAACCACUGAUGAGGUGUCUGACAUGACUAUAGACAACCACUGAUGAGGUGUCUGACAUGACUAUAGACAACCACUGAUGAGGUGUCUGACAUGACUAUAGACAACCACUGAUGAGGUGUCUGACAUGACUAUAGACAACCACUGAUGAGGUGUCUGACAUGACUAUAGACAACCACUGAUGAGGUGUCUGACAUGACUAUAGACAACCACUGAUGAGGUGUCUGACAUAACUAUAGACAACCACUGAUGAGGUGUCUGACAUGACUAUAGACAACCACUGAUGAGUUGUCUGACAUGGGAUAAGGUAUAUUAUGACUAUAGACAACCACUGAUGAGGUGUCUGACAUGACUAUAGACAACCACUGAUGAGGUGUCUGACAUGACUAUAGACAACCACUGAUGAGGUGUCUGACAUGACUAUAGACAACCACUGAUGAGGUGUCUGACAUGACUAUAGACAACCACUGAUGAGGUGUCUGACAUGACUAUAGACAACCACUGAUGAGGUGUCUGACAUGACUAUAGACAACCACUGAUGAGAUGUCUGACAUGGGAUAAGGUAUAUUAUGACUAUAGACAACCACUGAUGAGAUGUCUGACAUGGGAUAAGGUAUAUUAUGACUAUAGACAACCACUGAUGAGGUGUCUGACAUGACUAUAGACAACCACUGAUGAGGUGUCUGACAUGACUAUAGACAACCACUGAUGAGGUGUCUGACAUGACUAUAGACAACCACUGAUGAGGUGUCUGACAUGACUAUAGACAACCACUGAUGAGUUGUCUGACAUGGGAUAAGGUAUAUUAUGACUAUAGACAACCACUGAUGAGGUGUCUGACAUGACUAUAGACAACCACUGAUGAGGUGUCUGACAUGACUAUAGACAACCACUGAUGAGGUGUCUGACAUGACUAUAGACAACCACUGAUGAGUUGUCUGACAUGGGAUAAGGUAUAUUAUGACUAUAGACAACCACUGAUGAGGUGUCUGACAUGACUAUAGACAACCACUGAUGAGGUGUCUGACAUGACUAUAGACAACCACUGAUGAGGUGUCUGACAUGACUAUAGACAACCACUGAUGAGAUGUCUGACAUGGGAUAAGGUAUAUUAUGACUAUAGACAACCACUGAUGAGAUGUCUGACAUGGGAUAAGGUAUAUUAUGACUAUAGACAACCACUGAUGAGGUGUCUGACAUGGGAUAAGGUAUAUUAUGACUAUAGACAACCACUGAUGAGGUGUCUGACAUGGGAUAAGGUAUAUUAUGACUAUAGACAACCACUGAUGAGAUGUCUGACAUGGGAUAAGGUAUAUUAUGGCUAUAGACAACCACUGAUGAAAUGUCUGACAUGGGAUAAGGUAUAUUAUGACUAUAGACAACCACUGAUGAGGUGUCUGACAUGGGAUAAGGUAUAGUAUGACUAUAGACAACCACUGAUGAGGUGUCUGACAUGGGAUAAGGUAUAGUAUGACUAUAGACAAUUACUGAUGAGGUGUCUGACAUGGGAUAAGGUAUAUUAUGACUAUAGACAAUUACUGAUGAGGUGUCUGACAUGGGAUAAGGUAUAUUAUGACUAUAGACAACCACUGAUGAGGUGUCUGACAUAGGCUCUAAAUUCUAUAAUAGUAGCACAGUUUUAGUGUUUCCUGCAGCUUUUAAAAAGAGCAGGGUAAUUUUUUUCUUGAAGAACACUCUAAGCGGGAUUGGCUACACUUUCAGGGCAUCAACCUUUACAUGAAGGACUACUCUUUUUUGGCACCCUUUACAUAGAUAUAAAGGCACUGUUAUGGAUAGGGAUUUAAUCAAAAUAUACCAUUGUUUCAUAUUUAGUUAAGAAAUAAAGAUAUGUUUAUUAGGUUACUAAUUCAAUUCCUUUUUGGAAUAGAAUUGUCACUUCUAGAAGCAGCAAAUAGAAUCUUGAUAGUGCAACUGUCUUUAAAAUACGACAGAAAAGGGCAUGGUACCAAAAAUUUGUACAAAAAAUGGUGCAGGGCGCCACAACCUCCCAAAACCUCCUGUAGGAAGAUUAGGAAUAGAUUAUACUACAUAUCAAAGAAUGGUUUCAAAUAUAUUUGCAAAUUUGUAGAAAAUUGGCCUUCAGAUUAUGUAGAAUUGUAUACUUGUCUUUACCUUUAUGCUGUUUCCUCUUUAUAUCAAGCUGACUUCUAGGUUAUCAGUUUCAUAUCAAACCUUGUAGUUUUUUUUUAACAUGUCUAGUGUAGUAAUGAAUAUCCAUACAGUUUUUUUUUCAAGAAAUGUGAGAAAUAAGGAUAUGUGUUAUGAUUGCCAAUGAGACAACUAUCCACCAGAUACUGAGGGCUCUCUUUCUGAAAAGAUCUACACUACCGGUAGUACCCCCCCUCCGAAAACAAAUUAAGUAAGUAAAUGGUUAUAGAUAUGUCUAUAAUUUUAUGCUGUUGAUUAAACCAAGGGUUAAAGUUACACAUUUGUUCAAGGGUCUUCUUAUAUUUCACAUUUGUUUAGGAACUAAUAAUAAAGCAGCAUUUACAAAAAUUCAUAUACACAAAUUAAAUAUGUUGUAGUUAAUUUAAUGUCCUUUUGUGUACUACGACGUGUACCGGGAGAUGACUUGUUACACUAGCCCUUUCCUACAAUUGAUGUUCAGGAAAAGUGUAAUGAAAUGUUAUAUUUAGGGGAAGUUUUUUUCAUUUUUAUUUUAUUAUUGCCUUUCCUUAAUCUAUAGGUAAAUUAUGCAUUUUUUGGGUCAUGUUUUCCUGUCAUUUGUGUUUAUGUGAAUGAAAACUGAAAACUUUUUUGUUUAUUUGAAUGUGAUGAAAGUAAAAAUAAAUAUAUAUAUAUGGUGAAAUAGAUUCCUGUGUUUACAAGUAUAUGUAUAAAUAUGAA